AUCGCUCUCUGAAGAUUUUCCGAUCUUUGUAUUGUAUAGUGUGCGUCUAUAGCUGCAGAAGCUCAGGGUUUCCCCACUUCCAUAUGCAAAAAAACGAAGAGUUGAUUACUUCAUCUAAUCUGGAUUAGCUGCAUUUGAGAAUGUCGUUUUGCUAUCCAUCAUCACCAAGAAAACUGGCUAUGACGGUGGCAUUUUUUGCCUCAGGGGCAGCUCUUUUCGCCGUUGGAAUCCAUCUGUCGUAUCUCAACGUUGCUCCUCAGCAAGCUCGUACAAAAGCACGUAAUGAUUUCGUCAAAGAACGCCUCAGGCAGAAACAAGGCAAGUGACUUUCAAGAUUCAGAUUAUGUCAGCAUAACAACAGAGCCAUUUCUUUUUGAGUAUCUUUUGUUGUCUUCUUACUUUCACCAUCUCCAACUUUGGAACAAAAGAUCGUAUUAUUAGAGCAAACGGUACAAAAAGUAUAUCAAAAGAUCUUUCAUAAAAUAUUCUCUCACAAAGUACAGCAAAAGCAGGGAAUGAUUAAGAA
Molecule: long non-coding RNA, 526 nt
Organism: Brassica oleracea var. oleracea
Lineage: Eukaryota; Viridiplantae; Streptophyta; Magnoliopsida; Brassicales; Brassicaceae
Exons: 2
Source: RefSeq, a predicted model, not a curated record